AAUGGUGAGUAGUCGCGGUUCCUUUUUUGGAGCUGAGGAAAGUCCAGGCUCGCACAGUGCUGAGAUGCCUGUAGUGUUCGUGCCACUUGCAAAGGUGGGCAGUCAAUAGUUAUAGGCUGACGGCGGUGAAAUCAUGCUAAGUCCAUAGGGAUAUGCUGAGAAUAGCCUGAAAGUGCCACAGUGACGAAGCUUUUCUGGAAACGGAAAAGGUGGAACGGGGUAAACCCCACGAGCGAGCAACCCAAAUUUAGGUAGGGGCAUCAUCCUUAAGGGAAAUCAACCUGCGGAUGGAUUGGUCACAAAGGCCGAUAGAUAGAUGACUACUACUUCCUGUACAAGGCUUGCAGCCGAUUGUAGUACGGAAGCACAAAACCUGGCUUACAGCC
RNAcentral lists this RNase P RNA (386 nucleotides) under Neobacillus cucumis. RNAcentral's name for it is "RNase P RNA component class B". It matches the Rfam family "Bacterial RNase P class B". From Rfam's summary of the family: Ribonuclease P (RNase P) is a ubiquitous endoribonuclease, found in archaea, bacteria and eukarya as well as chloroplasts and mitochondria. Its best characterised activity is the generation of mature 5'-ends of tRNAs by cleaving the 5'-leader elements of precursor-tRNAs. Cellular RNase Ps are ribonucleoproteins. The record is from RNAcentral. Lineage: Bacteria; Bacillati; Bacillota; Bacilli; Caryophanales; Bacillaceae.